UCUACAAGUAGGAAAUGCAUUAUUAGAUAAUAAUCUUAGAGGAAAAGAUAGGAUUAUAAUUAAUCCACCCCAAGAUUUUAGAAUAACAAAAAAUAAAGGAAAAAAGCAUGAAGAAAAACAAUAUAUGAUAACAGAUGUAGAAGAGAUAGAACAAAAAUUCUUAGAAUCUACAGGUGAAGAGUAUGAAGAAUAUAAAAAGCAGUUAGAAGAAUUAACUGAAAAAAUGGAGAAUAUAAAAAUGAAUACUAAUCCAUCUUCAAGUCAUGAUAUAAAAGUAGAAUUUAGUAGUGAUGAAGAACAAGAUUUCCCUUAUGGUACCCCUAUACCUGAUAAGGCUGAUGUUAAUCAAUAUAGAAAAACCCAGAAAAGAUACACUGGUAAUGUAAGAAAACAAUCUAUAAAAGAAAUAAAUCCAAUGAAAUCUUAUAAUGAAC
Molecule: long non-coding RNA, 434 nt
Filed under: Olea europaea subsp. europaea
Lineage: Eukaryota; Viridiplantae; Streptophyta; Magnoliopsida; Lamiales; Oleaceae
Source: RNAcentral